Molecule: non-coding RNA, 32 nt
Filed under: Rattus norvegicus (Norway rat)
Lineage: Eukaryota; Metazoa; Chordata; Mammalia; Rodentia; Muridae
Source: RNAcentral
UGAUACCAGGACACUAAGCAAAUCAUGGCUUC